AGCGAACGCUGGCGGCAGGCUUAACACAUGCAAGUCGAACGGGCGUAGCAAUACGUCAGUGGCAGACGGGUGAGUAACACGUGGGAACGUACCCUUUGGUUCGGAACAACACAGGGAAACUUGUGCUAAUACCGGAUAAGCCCUUACGGGGAAAGAUUUAUCGCCGAAGGAUCGGCCCGCGUCUGAUUAGCUUGUUGGUGAGGUAAUGGCUCACCAAGGCGACGAUCAGUAGCUGGUCUGAGAGGAUGAUCAGCCACACUGGGACUGAGACACGGCCCAGACUCCUACGGGAGGCAGCAGUGGGGAAUAUUGGACAAUGGGCGCAAGCCUGAUCCAGCCAUGCCGCGUGAGUGAUGAAGGCCCUAGGGUUGUAAAGCUCUUUUGGCCGGGGAAGGAUAAUGACGGUACCGCAGAAUAAGCCCCGGCUAACUUCGUGCCAGCAGCCGCGGU
This 450-nucleotide ribosomal RNA is filed under the name uncultured bacterium. Its description in RNAcentral is "bacterial SSU rRNA". It matches the Rfam family "Bacterial small subunit ribosomal RNA", at positions 29 to 521 of the family's 1533-position model. The record is from RNAcentral.